UCUGUGUCAGGGGUUCUCAAACUUUUCCACCCCAAAGUCCACAUCUUUACAACUAGCAAGUGUAGCAGGUGGGGUUUUGCGACUCCACCUACGUUGCUUGUGAAGCUGCGUGGCCGCGUUUAAAUUACUGGGCGGCCCCUUUGUACCCUAGGGGACGACUACUUUUGGUGCGCUUCCUGUCCCCCCUCCUUUCUGCUGUGACUUCCGUGCCGGCAGCGUUCAGCGUGGAGUUUAGCGUGACUGUUUGUAUUACUUCUCAUGAGUUUAAGUUGCGGGCUCGUAUUCGAUUGCCGGCUCAGCGCUGUGGUAUGCAUCUCUGAUGUUGCCUGGGCACUUUCACUUUAGAAAGUGUUAGUGAUUGUGCUGCCUUGCUGCGGGCAUUGUCUGCUGGAGCUGUUUGCUGUAGCCAUUGUCAGCGGGAGCUGCUGUGUGUCAUUACCUGCUGCUGUCUGCUGUGGCCAUUGUUUGCUGUGGCUGCUGGCAGAAAUUGAUGCUGUGCCGGAGCUGGGGGCCAAGCAUCUGACUUGGGGAUGCGGAAUUCUAUUCACCUUUCCUGUAGUGUGGAGCACGUUGGGUGUGAUUGAGAUGUGUGGCACUGACAUGUGUGGUUUGUAGUGUAGAGGAUAUUUCUAUCCCUGUACUUCCUUCUGUCGUGGUAAGCCCUUAACCCAGUUCCUUCCUAAAUUGUUGCUGGUAGUUUAAAUAAAAUAUUGCUAGUUCUUUUUUUAUAUUGAUUCUCCAAGAAGGGAAUUCCUGGUCUGCCUGGUGGAAAAGAUGUUUUAAAAUAAUUGUCAAUAAAUCUCUAUUAAAUGAUUGUA
Long non-coding RNA from Pygocentrus nattereri (red-bellied piranha), 818 nucleotides. RefSeq lists it as uncharacterized. The record is from RefSeq and is a predicted model, not a curated record. The transcript has 4 exons. NCBI's taxonomy places the organism in Eukaryota, Metazoa, Chordata, Actinopteri, Characiformes, Serrasalmidae.